This is a transfer RNA of 81 nucleotides. It matches the Rfam family "tRNA". From Rfam's summary of the family: Transfer RNA (tRNA) molecules are approximately 80 nucleotides in length. Their secondary structure includes four short double-helical elements and three loops (D, anti-codon, and T loops). The record is from Rfam.
GGCAACGUGGCCGAGUGGUUAAGGCGUUGGAUUAGAAAUCCAGUGGGCUUGCCCGCACAGGUUCGAAUCCUGUCGUUGUCG